This 371-nucleotide ribosomal RNA is filed under the name uncultured organism. RNAcentral's name for it is "bacterial SSU rRNA". It matches the Rfam family "Bacterial small subunit ribosomal RNA", at positions 526 to 896 of the family's 1533-position model. The record is from RNAcentral.
CAGAGGGUGCAAGCGUUAAUCGGAAUUACUGGGCGUAAAGCGUAUGUAGGUGGUUUUUUAAGUCAGGUGUGAAAUCCCUGGGCUCAACCUAGGAAUUGCAUUUGAUACUGGAAAGCUUGAGUGCGGUAGAGGGUAGUGGAACUCCCGGUGUAGCGGUGAAAUGCGUAGAUAUCGGGAAGAACACCAGUGGCGAAAGCGGCUACCUGGACUGACACUGACACUGAGAUACGAAAGCGUGGGGAGCAAACAGGAUUAGAUACCCUGGUAGUCCACGCCUUAAACGAUGGAUACUAGUUGUCGGGAAGUUUAACUUCUUGGUGACGCAGCUAACGCAAUAAGUAUCCCGCCUGGGGAGUACGGCCGCAAGGUUA